GGUGACUAAAUUUGUCCAGAUGCUGCCGUUCAAAUAAUCACAGUGAUUGCCGACAUAAUGGUUACAUUCCUGAGAACUGAGAGACUGAGGUAUGGAGAGGUUAGGUAAUUGUUCAAGAACACCAAGCCAGUAAGGGUGCCACUGGACCUAAGAUGAGGCAACCUGGCCCUGAGACCAGACCCAUGGAGAAGCAUGUGGACGCUGACAACAUCAUAAGUUAUAAGGAGCAAAAGAAUAGCAGCCUCAGCCCUGAAUUCUGCUGACUCCAAGUUCCAGAUCCAUGCCUUUUAUUCAACUCAGAGAUCAUCUAUCAACUCAUGCCACGUAAAGUGCUGUUGCUGGAGCAGGCAUGGAGAAGCUGAGAAGAUGCUGUUUCCAGGUUCUCAUUGCACCAUCCCAGUGGACCUGUCUGUCCUCCGGUAGCAUGAGGAGUUUAAACUGGGAGCAAGUACCUUGUCUUCUGUACUACUCUGGACCGGGAGUUCCCCACUGAGCUUGGACUCCUGGAGAAUAGAGCCUCUUCUUACUUAGCUUCAUGAUUAUUCGACACAGUCCUGGGUAUAGGGUAAGUGGUCACCAAAUGUUUGUUGAAGGCUGUGAGUGAAUGUAUCAGCAGAGAAGCAAUUGUACUGGUUCUAUGAUUGUGAUCACUAGGACAGCGAGUGGUCAAUUCUGUAGAGAUUCGCUUCUUCCUUAGAAUUGGCUUCUGAAGCUUCUGUUCUCAGGCACUGAUGAUAAGACUGUCUAGAAGAAUCCUCCUUGAGCAUCAAAUCAACCCAUCAAAGGGGAUCAUGUGGCUGUCUUCGGUUGAAUUCUCUGCUGCAUCUUAUAUGGGGACAAAUAAUGCUCUUUUGCUGGGGAUGCGGUUUGAAAGGUCCUUCUCUGCCUCAGCAAUCUCAGGGAGCAUUGGCCAUCCCCAGAAUCUCUGGCAGAUAUACAGACGUCUUGUUCUGAAUGCAAACAAAUUCCUGUAACCCCUGGGGAAAAACUUUAUAGGCAAGGUCAGAACAAGUCAUGCCUCUAGUAGAAACUGUCAAGAUGCUGUGAUUAGAGUGAUAAAGCCCUUGACACUCUGCGCACACCCAAGAAUGCCUCCCCUAUGCCGUAGAACCUGCAAUUCUCAUCACUUCUCAAAGACGAGCAGUCUAAGGAAGAUGACGCAUUUGCUAGUUUAUACAGUAGCAGGGAUUAAUUUAGU
Molecule: long non-coding RNA, 1198 nt
Organism: Callithrix jacchus (white-tufted-ear marmoset)
Lineage: Eukaryota; Metazoa; Chordata; Mammalia; Primates; Cebidae
Source: RefSeq, a predicted model, not a curated record